GCUAUGUAUUAAAGGGUAUGAUUUAUUUACUGAAAUUAAGAAUUUAGUGUAAAGAAUAAUUUCUAUUAAGGCAGGCUCCGUCUUCGGAUGGAGUGGUCUAGUAUAAAUUGUUCUUAUAACCUAAAAACUUAUUUUAAAUAUAAACCCUAAGAGAAGUUUUUUAAUAAACGAAGUGAAUUGAAAUAUCUUAGUAACUUCAGGAAAAGAAAUCAAAAGAGAUUCUACGAUUAGCGUGAGUGAAAGUAGAGAAGCCUAUAUAUUAAUAAGUAAAAUGGUUUAGAAACUGUUUGAAUUUAUAGCCGACCUAGAGUCGGUCUCGGGGAACCUUCCUCAAAGGCUAAAUAUAAUACAUAAGCGAUAGUGAACAGUAUCAUGAGAGAACGAUUAGAAAUAGUAGUUUUAUAAGCAGUUCGAGCAAAAUAAAUAAGUGAGAACGUACCUUUUGCAUAAUGGGUCACCAAGUUAACAUUAGAUGCGAGUGAAAGCGUAGAUAAACCAAUCGUUAAAAUAACGAAUAGUGUCUAAAGUUAGACCCGAAGCCUGGUGAUUUUACCACAAUCAGGAUUAUAAAAGUCCGAACGGGUUAUCGUUGUAAAGAUAUCCGAAGAAUUGUGGUAGGUAGUGAAAGACAACACUGACUAGGAUAGCUGGUUUUCUGCGAAACCUAUAACAGUAGGCAAUUUGAGUACAUCUUAGCAGGUACAGAAUUUAAUCUCAGACAAGAUGUUUUCAUUUUAGUUUGGCUACGAAGUCGGCGCGGUAAAACCGCUCGACUCCAUGCUUGAACUAAAACAACAUGUUGAUUUGUAUAUAUCGGGGGAUCGUGAAGAUUUUAUCGGUGAGUAUGUAGACUCGGAAUGGCAAAGAUGGAUCUUGAAUUAUCAGACAUAGAAUGAUAAGGUUGUAUGUCAAAAGGGAAACAGCCCAGAACAAGAGUUAAGGUUCCAAAAUUAUUAGUUGAGUGAAAUUAAGAAAGUUUUUAUUAAAGUCGACAAGGAGAUAGGCUUAGAAGCAGCCAAAUUUUGAAGACCUCGUAACAGAGCGCUUGUUAAGUUUUAAAAGCAUCGAAAAUUUAACGGAUCUAAACAAUAUACCGACACCUUGUCCAUAUUUUACACUAUAUAUUAUUGUAAUUUUGUGGGGUAGCAGAACGUUGAAUGAAAUUAAGAUAUUUCUUCUGUGAAGAAAUAUAUAACAAACAAUUCAAGUGAGAAUGGUGACAUGAGUAACGAAUAAGAAGGACACGAAAAGAGCGGCUUCGCAGCCGGGAACAAGGUAAAAACUUGUGAUCGGCCUUUUCAAAUCCUCCGCCUAAAGCUUAUGGAUGGGAAGAUCCCCUUAAAGUAACGGCCUCUAAGUUAUAAAUCUAAAGGUUUAAACGAUGAGAAAAUCUUUUUUACUAAAUGACAACAUUUAGGUUCCCCCUCCUACCUCCUCAAUUCAUUGAGGAGGUGCUAGGGGGAAUAAGUGAUAAGUGUGCUGGAAAAAAUAGUAAUAUAUCUUAUUGCUGUGGCUGCUACAAAGUCUCUAGCCUUUGGCUACGAUCUGCGUAGCCAAGCCACAGCUAAAAAAUAAGAUGAAAAAAUAACCGUACCUAGAAACUAAAACAAGUAAGCUAGUAGAGAAUACGAAGGCGUAAAUGAGCUAACAAUCAUAAAGGAACUCGGCAAACUAACUACCGUAACUUCGGGAUAAGGAGAGCUCAUUAGUCCUGAUUAAUAUCGGGUAAAAAGGAAGAAGCAUAAAAUAGUGUUGUACGACUGUUUAAUUAAAACACAGCACUUUGCUAAAAGAUUAAAAAUCGAAGUAUUGAGUGUGAUGUCUGCCCGAUGCCGGCUGGUUAACGAAUUUAACUAAAUUAUCAAAAGAUUUGGUGUUGAAGGAACCCCCGGUUAAUGGCGGCCUUAACGUGAGGGUCCUAAGGUAGCGAAAUGCCUUGGCCGUUAAAUGCGGUCUUGCAUGAAUGAUGUAACGAUACAACAGCUGUCUCUAUGAUUGACUCAGUGAAAUUGGAAUAACUGUGCAGAUACAGUUUACCUCUAGUUAGACGAGAAGACCCUAUGCAGCUUUACUGUUACUAAUUAUAGGGUAUGAUGAAUUAAUUUUCAGAUUAUAAGGUACAUUGAUUCAAUAAAAAUGAAAAUCCUUUAUUUUCACAUCAUAUUUCAGAAUUAAUUCUUUUGCAUCCUCCGGGCACUUGUGAUGCAACAAACGACUCCAUGCUGGCUAGCUAGCCAGCAUGCAGCCAAGACGGAGAGUUCUCCGACUUCGUACGUAGCGCUGGAUUUAUCCAAAUCUACGUAAGCGACGCAAGAAAGCUAGAGGAAAGAAAGUAUUACCCUAAUCUGACAUAAGCCUUGGGUAAGGAAUAUAUUGUUAGGAGACAGUUUAUGUGGGGCACAGGCCCCUUAAAGAGUAAAAGGGAGUGUCUAAAAAUUAUUUGUUAUAAGGGCGUGCUUCGCGACUUCGUUUCGCAAGCUCUGCUUUUAUAACGUUGUUUGUGAUUUUAUGUAGUUUUACUAUAUUUAAUCUUAUAAAAUUAUUCCUAUCUACCCUGGCUGUAGAUAGGGAUGGAUAUUAGGUACGAUUUUCACUAUAGUGAAAGUAGCGGUAGAAAAAAAAUAGUAUGAAAUUUUUCUACUAUUUUGGAGUUAUUAAGAGGUUCUCUUAAUAAUAAUGAUAAAUACCUGAAAAGCUCAACGGCUUAUUCGUGCCAUACUGUUUGAUUAACAACAAAUCUUACAGUUGCGUAAGCAGGGCAUAGGAUCACAAGAUGCAAAAAGGAAAGAUCUUGGAUUAUUGGAAAAGCUACGCUAGGGAUGUUUGUCCUUCAAUAUUUUUAGGGUCUCUGACCAGAAAUUAUUGAUAAUAUAUUGGGUUAAUUUC
RNAcentral lists this ribosomal RNA (2886 nucleotides) under Colletotrichum falcatum. RNAcentral's name for it is "bacterial LSU rRNA". It matches the Rfam family "Bacterial large subunit ribosomal RNA", at positions 1 to 2543 of the family's 2925-position model. Lineage: Eukaryota; Fungi; Ascomycota; Sordariomycetes; Glomerellales; Glomerellaceae. The record is from RNAcentral.